GACGAACGCUGGCGGCGUGCUUAACACAUGCAAGUCGAACGGAAAGGCCUCUUUCGGGGGGUACUCGAGUGGCGAACGGGUGAGUAACACGUGAGUAACCUGCCCUUUACUUUGGGAUAACUUCAGGAAACUGGGGCUAAUACCGGAUAGGAGCUCCUGCUGCAUGGUGGGGGUUGGAAAGUUUCGGCGGUUGGGGAUGGACUCGCGGCUUAUCAGCUUGUUGGUGGGGUAGUGGCUUACCAAGGCUUUGACGGGUAGCCGGCCUGAGAGGGUGACCGGCAACAUUGGGACUGAGAUACGGCCCAGACUCCUACGGGAGGCAGCAGUGGGGAAUAUUGCACAAUGGGUGGAAGCCUGAUGCAGCAACGCCGUGUGCGGGAUGACGGCCUUCGGGUUGUAAACCGCUUUCGCUCAUGACGAAGCUUUGUGUGACGGUAGUGGGUAAAGAGGCACCGGCUAACUACGUG
RNAcentral lists this ribosomal RNA (467 nucleotides) under uncultured bacterium. RNAcentral's name for it is "partial 16S ribosomal RNA". It matches the Rfam family "Bacterial small subunit ribosomal RNA", at positions 28 to 507 of the family's 1533-position model. The record is from RNAcentral.